CCUACGGGGGGCAGCAGUGAGGAAUAUUGGUCAAUGGGCGGAAGCCUGAACCAGCCAAGUAGCGUGCGGGAUGAAGGCCCUACGGGUCGUAAACCGCUUUUGCACGGGGAUAACACCCUCCACUUGUGGAGGUCUGCAGGUACCGUGCGCAUACGGGCCGGCUAAUUCCGUGCCAGCAGCCGCGGUAAUACGGAAGGCCCGAGCGUUAUCCGGAUUCCUUGGGGUAAAAGGGUGCGCAGGAGGAAGAUCAAGUGAGCGGUAAAAUUGAGAGGCUACACCUUUUCGAGCCGUUGAAAUUGGUUUUCUUGAGGGAGUGGGAAGUAUGCGGAAUGCGUGGUGUAGCGGUGAAAUGCAUAGAUAUCACGCAGAACUCCGAUUGCGAAGGCAGCAUACCGGCGCUCAACUGACGCUCAUGCACGAAAGUGUGGGUAUCGAACAGGAUUAGAUACCCGGGUAGUC
This 459-nucleotide ribosomal RNA is filed under the name uncultured bacterium. Its description in RNAcentral is "partial 16S ribosomal RNA". It matches the Rfam family "Bacterial small subunit ribosomal RNA", at positions 338 to 795 of the family's 1533-position model. The record is from RNAcentral.